This 56-nucleotide ribosomal RNA is filed under the name Colletotrichum truncatum. RNAcentral's name for it is "partial 18S ribosomal RNA". The record is from RNAcentral. Lineage: Eukaryota; Fungi; Ascomycota; Sordariomycetes; Glomerellales; Glomerellaceae.
GAUGAAGUAAAGUCGUACCAAGUCUCGUGUGACCCAGCGGAGGGAAUCAUUACUGA